UAGGGAAUCUUCCGCAAUGGACGAAAGUCUGACGGAGCAACGCCGCGUGAGUGAAGAAGGAUUUCGGUUCGUAAAACUCUGUUGUUAGGGAAGAAAAAAUGUAUAGUAACUAUAUACAAAAGAGACGGUACCUAACCAGAAAGCCACGGCUAAAUACGUGCCAGCAGCCGCGGUAAUACGUAUGUCGCGAGCGUUAUCCGGAAUUAUUGGGCUUAAAGGGCAUCUAGGCGGUUAAACAAGUUGAAGGUGAAAACCUGUGGCUCAACCAUAGGCUUGCCUACAAAACUGUAUAACUAGAGUACUGGAAAGGUGGGUGGAACUACACGAGUAGAGGUGAAAUUCGUAGAUAUGUGUAGGAAUGCCGAUGAUGAAGAUAACUCACUGGACAGCAACUGACGCUGAAGUGCGAAAGCUAGGGGAGCAAACAGG
Molecule: ribosomal RNA, 429 nt
Filed under: Verrucomicrobiota bacterium
Lineage: Bacteria; Pseudomonadati; Verrucomicrobiota
Description: Verrucomicrobia bacterium partial 16S ribosomal RNA
Rfam family: Bacterial small subunit ribosomal RNA
Source: RNAcentral